GAUGAACGCUGGCGGCGUGCCUAAUACAUGCAAGUCGAGCGAACGGACGAGAAGCUUGCUUCUCUGAUGUUAGCGGCGGACGGGUGAGUAACACGUGGAUAACCUACCUAUAAGACUGGGAUAACUUCGGGAAACCGGAGCUAAUACCGGAUAAUAUUUUGAACCGCAUUGUUCAAAAGUGAAAGACGGUCUUGCUGUCACUUAUAGAUGGAUCCGCGCUGCAUUAGCUAGUUGGUAAGGUAACGGCUUACCAAGGCAACGAUGCAUAGCCGACCUGAGAGGGUGAUCGGCCACCCUGGAACUGAGACACGGUACAGACUCCUACGGGAGGCAGCAGUAGGGAAUCUUACGCAAUGGGCGAAAGCCUGACGGAGCAACGCCGCGUGAGUGAUGAAGGUCUUAGGAUCGUAAAACUCUGUUAUUAGGGAAGAACAUAUGUGUAAGUACCUGUGCACAUCUUGACGGUACCUAAUCAGAAAGCCACGGCUAACUACGUG
RNAcentral lists this ribosomal RNA (497 nucleotides) under uncultured bacterium. RNAcentral describes it as "partial 16S ribosomal RNA". It matches the Rfam family "Bacterial small subunit ribosomal RNA", at positions 28 to 507 of the family's 1533-position model. The record is from RNAcentral.